Long non-coding RNA from Daphnia magna, 505 nucleotides. RefSeq lists it as uncharacterized. The transcript is spliced from 2 exons. The record is from RefSeq and is a predicted model, not a curated record. NCBI's taxonomy places the organism in Eukaryota, Metazoa, Arthropoda, Branchiopoda, Diplostraca, Daphniidae.
AACCGGUUACAAAACCCGGUUACACUACUUUGUCCCCUGAUUUCUCCGUUUCGUGUAAUACAUUAUACAUAUGGAUGGAGUUUGUGUUGAAAUAACGCGGGGCCGAGCGCUACUCUCAAGAGACAACUGGUUUGAUCAUGCAUUGCAUUACACAAAACAAACAUCACAGGCGCCACGGGUAACAUCGAAUUAAACUAAGAUUGAAAGUGGACAUUUUACCCGUAUUUUGAUGCAGUUCUAAUAACGGAAAAUUUUUCACUGAAUAAGGCAAAUACUGUAACUAAUGUAUUCUUCAGAUUUUUUUUUUCUUUUUCUCAAUUUGACAUCCAAAAGAUACAUCCAAAUGACAAACAACAAUUCAUCAAAAGAAGAGCAAAUAAGGGGAAAGGACUGAAAGUAAAGAAUAAUAGCUUGGGAGGAAUGUCUUGUAUCCCUCCACCAAAUUCAUAACAUGAGGAAUUUCCUUAAGCCUUCAGCAACAUAUUUACCAAAAAAUGAUGCUAAA